RNAcentral lists this ribosomal RNA (443 nucleotides) under uncultured bacterium. Its description in RNAcentral is "partial 16S ribosomal RNA". It matches the Rfam family "Bacterial small subunit ribosomal RNA", at positions 338 to 795 of the family's 1533-position model. The record is from RNAcentral.
CCUACGGGAGGCAGCAGUGGGGAAUAUUGGACAAUGGGGGGAACCCUGAUGCAGCGACGCCGCGUGAGUGAAGAAAUAUUUCGGUAUGUAAAGCUCUAUCAGCAGGGAAGAAAGAAAUGACGGUACCUGACUAAGAAGCCCCGGCUAACUACGUGCCAGCAGCCGCGGUAAUACGUGGGGGGCAAGCGUUAUCCGGAUUUACUGGGUGUAAAGGGAGCGUAGACGGCGAUGCAAGUCUGAAGUGAAAGGCGGGGGCUCAACCCCCGGACUGCUUUGGAAACUGUAUGGCUGGAGUGCAGGAGAGGUAAGUGGAAUUCCUAGUGUAGCGGUGAAAUGCGUAGAUAUUAGGAGGAACACCAGUGGCGAAGGCGGCUUACUGGACUGUAACUGACGUUGAGGCUCGAAAGCGUGGGGAGCAAACAGGAUUAGAUACCCUGGUAGUC